This 492-nucleotide ribosomal RNA is filed under the name uncultured bacterium. Its description in RNAcentral is "partial 16S ribosomal RNA". It matches the Rfam family "Bacterial small subunit ribosomal RNA", at positions 29 to 507 of the family's 1533-position model. The record is from RNAcentral.
AGUGAACGCUGGCGGUAGGCCUAACACAUGCAAGUCGAACGGCAGCACAGUAAGAGCUUGCUCUUACGGGUGGCGAGUGGCGGACGGGUGAGGAAUACAUCGGAAUCUACUUUUUCGUGGGGGAUAACGUAGGGAAACUUACGCUAAUACCGCAUACGACCUACGGGUGAAAGCAGGGGAUCUUCGGACCUUGCGCGAUUGAAUGAGCCGAUGUCGGAUUAGCUAGUUGGCGGGGUAAAGGCCCACCAAGGCGACGAUCCGUAGCUGGUCUGAGAGGAUGAUCAGCCACACUGGAACUGAGACACGGUCCAGACUCCUACGGGAGGCAGCAGUGGGGAAUAUUGGACAAUGGGCGCAAGCUUGAUCCAGCCAUACCGCGUGGGUGAAGAAGGCCUUCGGGUUGUAAAGCCCUUUUGCUGGGAAAGAAAAGCAGCAGGUUAAUACCCCGCUGUUCUGACGGUACCCAAAGAAUAAGCACCGGCUAACUUCGUG